GGUGUUCAUUUUCUGGGACAGUACUGGUCUGUGGGCCAUAUGGCAUGAAGGGCAAACCUCAAGAUGAGCGAACACUGUAAUGAUGUUUUUCACAGGAACUUUCACAACCGAAACAGGAGAAGAUCAGAUAUGGAUCCUGGUACCUUGACCCAAAAAUGUGGAGAAAAUGGAAAGGGAGUGAACCCUUAAAAGCUCUGGAAACUGCAGGCAAUAGCCUUGGGAAUGGAAAACAUCAGUUUGAAAAGAUGGAAAUUGCACAGCUCCACAGUACACUUGCCUUUAAUGAAUUCCUGGAAAGAAAGGGAUACCGAAAACCUCAGUUCCUUCUGAAAAUGCUGGCUGGGAGAAAUGAUAGUGGAGCUCAAGAGGAAACAUCCAAAGCUUGCAAGUUACCUUGUCCAAAAAGGCAUGACAAAACUGGAGGAGAUUCUUCCAGAAUUGUUGAAUAGUAGAAAUCUCUACAUUCUCUUACAAUGAAUAGGUGAUGGUAGCUGAGCUGCUUCUAGGAGAAUAAUCUCAUGUUAGAGCAAACUUGAAGAUAGCUUGCAGCUUCUUUUGCAAAAACGGCCAGAUAAAGUUUGGAGGUCAGACAUGGACUACCAAAUUCCAGGCUCAAAUCACUUUUCCAGCUUAGUAGCGCUUGGGUCUGGCUUGAAGACACUGAAGACUUCAGCUGUGCUGUAGUGCGCUGUUCCAGUCAAAGAGCCUCGUCCACAGUUACCUUAUUGCUUUAUAAAUAUCCACAACAGGCUUGCUGCUUUACAGAAUGAUUAAGCAUCCCUUUCUCUGAAUUCUGAAAGGACAAGAUGGUUGCAAUUUAUAUACCUAGAGAAAAAUUGAAACCUGUCUGAGAAUUGUACUGCUUUGAACACUACAGAAUGAUCCUAACAUGCACACAACUUAAAGUGACAUAAGCAUCCUUUUGUAAUAUAGAAAAGGCUAUCAAAAAUCAUAACUUGUUAUCUAUUAAUAUAGCAAAAAUAUCUAAUAAAGGUAACUCAAACCCCUUUGUGCA
This 1015-nucleotide long non-coding RNA is filed under the name Struthio camelus australis. Its description in RNAcentral is "lncRNA (ENSSCUG00000018699.1)". The record is from RNAcentral. Lineage: Eukaryota; Metazoa; Chordata; Aves; Struthioniformes; Struthionidae.